AUUGAACGCUGGCGGCAGGCCUAACACAUGCAAGUCGAGCGAGCGGCGGACGGGUGAGUAAUGUAUGGGGACUGCCCGAUAGAGGGGGAUAACUACUGGAAACGGUAGCUAAUACCGCAUACUAUCGGAUAACCCAUAUGGGAUUAGCUCGUAGGUGCGGUAAUGGCUCACCUAGGCGACGAUCCCUAGCUGGUCUGGGAGGAUGAUCAGCCACACGGGGACGGGGACACGGCCCGAACUCCUACGGAGGCAGCGGGGGGGAAUAUUGCACAAUGGACGAAGGCCUAAUGCGGCCAUGCGGCGUGUAUGAAGAAGGCCCUAGGUUUGUAAAGUACUUUCAGUCGGGAGGCGUUACCGGCAGAAGAAGCACCGGCUAACUCCGUGCCAGCAGCCGCGGUAAUAC
Molecule: ribosomal RNA, 403 nt
Filed under: uncultured bacterium
Lineage: Bacteria
Description: partial 16S ribosomal RNA
Rfam family: Bacterial small subunit ribosomal RNA
Source: RNAcentral